Molecule: ribosomal RNA, 253 nt
Filed under: uncultured Gemmatimonas sp.
Lineage: Bacteria; Pseudomonadati; Gemmatimonadota; Gemmatimonadia; Gemmatimonadales; Gemmatimonadaceae
Description: partial 16S ribosomal RNA
Rfam family: Bacterial small subunit ribosomal RNA
Source: RNAcentral
UACGGAGGGUGCGAGCGUUGUCCGGAAUCACUGGGCGUAAAGGGCGCGUAGGCGGCUGGGGAAGUCUGUGGUGAAAGCUCGCGGCUCAACUGCGAGUCGGCCACGGAGACUCCUUGGCUCGAGCACUGUAGAGGCAGGUGGAAUUCCGGGUGUAGCGGUGGAAUGCGUAGAGAUCCGGAAGAACACCGGUGGCGAAGGCGGCCUGCUGGGCAGUAGCUGACGCUGAGGCGCGACAGCGUGGGGAGCAAACAGG